GAUGAACGCUGGCGGCGUGCCUAAUACAUGCAAGUCGAGCGAACAGACGAGGAGCUUGCUCCUUUGACGUUAGCGGCGGGCGGGUGAGUAACACGUAGGUAACCUACCUAUAAGACUGGGAUAACUUCGGGAAACCGGAGCUAAUACCGGAUAAUAUUUCGAACCGCAUGGUUCGAUAGUGAAAGAUGGCUUUGCUAUCACUUAUAGAUGGACCUGCGCCGUAUUAGCUAGUUGGUAAGGUAACGGCUUACCAAGGCAACGAUACGUAGCCGACCUGAGAGGGUGAUCGGCCACACUGGAACUGAGACACGGUCCAGACUCCUACGGGAGGCAGCAGUAGGGAAUCUUCCGCAAUGGGCGAAAGCCUGACGGAGCAACGCCGCGUGAGUGAUGAAGGUCUUCGGAUCGUAAAACUCUGUUAUUAGGGAAGAACAAACGUGUAAGUAACUGUGCACGUCUUGACGGUACCUAAUCAGAAAGCCACGGCUAACUACGUG
RNAcentral lists this ribosomal RNA (497 nucleotides) under uncultured bacterium. RNAcentral's name for it is "partial 16S ribosomal RNA". It matches the Rfam family "Bacterial small subunit ribosomal RNA", at positions 28 to 507 of the family's 1533-position model. The record is from RNAcentral.